CAUGCAAGUCGAGCGCCCCGCAAGGGGAGCGGCAGACGGGUGAGUAACGCGUGGGAAUCUACCUAGUUCUACGGAACAACACAGGGAAACUUGUGCUAAUACCGUAUACGCCCUACGGGGGAAAGAUUUAUCGGAAUUAGAUGAGCCCGCGUAAGAUUAGCUAGUUGGUGGGGUAAUGGCCUACCAAGGCGACGAUCUUUAGCUGGUCUGAGAGGAUGAUCAGCCACACUGGGACUGAGACACGGCCCAGACUCCUACGGGAGGCAGCAGUGGGGAAUAUUGGACAAUGGGCGAAAGCCUGAUCCAGCCAUGCCGCGUGAGUGAUGAAGGCCUUAGGGUUGUAAAGCUCUUUCAGUGGGGACGAUAAUGACGGUACCCACAGAAGAAGCCCCGGCUAACUUCGUGCCAGCAGCCGCGGUAAUACGAAGGGGGCUAGCGUUGUUCGGAUUUACUGGGCGUAAAGCGCACGUAGGCGGAUCGUUAAGUCGGGGGUGAAAUCCUGGAGCUCAACUCCAGAACUGCCUUCGAUACUGGCGAUCUUGAGUCCGGAAGAGGUGAGUGGAACUCCUAGUGUAGAGGUGGAAUUCGUAGAUAUUAGGAAGAACACCAGUGGCGAAGGCGGCUCACUGGUCCGGUACUGACGCUGA
Molecule: ribosomal RNA, 647 nt
Filed under: uncultured bacterium
Lineage: Bacteria
Description: bacterial SSU rRNA
Rfam family: Bacterial small subunit ribosomal RNA
Source: RNAcentral